RNAcentral lists this long non-coding RNA (237 nucleotides) under Nicotiana benthamiana. Its description in RNAcentral is "long non-coding RNA (NBEN_LNC025079)". Lineage: Eukaryota; Viridiplantae; Streptophyta; Magnoliopsida; Solanales; Solanaceae. The record is from RNAcentral.
AAUCACAGUAAGUAAAACAGCAGGAGCAAACUCAAAUUUCUGCAGCACACUUGAAGGCUCGAAGAGAACUCAAAGUUGUUUCGGAAAGCAAGAGUAGAAGUAUAGGGAAGAAGAGAGCAGAAAGCAUAGUGCUUAAUACUAUGAGUGAGAGUGUAAUUUAGUUGUGAAAGCUUCAGUGUUAAAGCGUAUCAAGCCAUGUUUUAAGUGCAGAAAAAGUAUGUCUCAAGUGAAAAAGGG